This 73-nucleotide transfer RNA is filed under the name Dictyocaulus viviparus (bovine lungworm). It matches the Rfam family "tRNA". Rfam says of the family: Transfer RNA (tRNA) molecules are approximately 80 nucleotides in length. Their secondary structure includes four short double-helical elements and three loops (D, anti-codon, and T loops). Further hydrogen bonds mediate the characteristic L-shaped molecular structure. tRNAs have two regions of fundamental functional importance: the anti-codon, which is responsible for specific mRNA codon recognition, and the 3' end, to which the tRNAs corresponding amino acid is attached (by aminoacyl-tRNA synthetases). tRNAs cope with the degeneracy of the genetic code in two manners: having more than one tRNA (with a specific anti-codon) for a particular amino acid; and 'wobble' base-pairing, i.e. permitting non-standard base-pairing at the 3rd anti-codon position. Lineage: Eukaryota; Metazoa; Nematoda; Chromadorea; Rhabditida; Metastrongylidae. The record is from Rfam by way of RNAcentral.
GCCUCGGUAGUGUAAUGGAUCAGCACGGCAGCCAGGAUAUCUGAAAGUGCGGGUUCGAGUCCCACCUAAGGUU